RNAcentral lists this ribosomal RNA (506 nucleotides) under uncultured bacterium. RNAcentral describes it as "partial 16S ribosomal RNA". It matches the Rfam family "Bacterial small subunit ribosomal RNA", at positions 30 to 523 of the family's 1533-position model. The record is from RNAcentral.
AUUGAACGCUGGCGGCAGGCCUAACACAUGCAAGUCGAACGGUAACAGGAAGCAGCUUGCUGCUUCGCUGACGAGUGGCGGACGGGUGAGUAAUGUCUGGGAAACUGCCUGAUGGAGGGGGAUAACUACUGGAAACGGUAGCUAAUACCGCAUAACGUCGCAAGACCAAAGAGGGGGACCUUCGGGCCUCUCGCCAUCGGAUGUGCCCAGAUGGGAUUAGCUAGUAGGUGGGGUAACGGCUCACCUAGGCGACGAUCCCUAGCUGGUCUGAGAGGAUGGCCAGCCACACUGGAACUGAGACACGGUCCAGACUCCUACGGGAGGCAGCAGUGGGGAAUAUUGCACAAUGGGCGCAAGCCUGAUGCAGCCAUGCCGCGUGUAUGAAGAAGGCCUUCGGGUUGUAAAGUACUUUCAGCGGGGAGGAAGGGAGUAAAGUUAAUACCUUUGCUCAUUGACGUUACCCGCAGAAGAAGCACCGGCUAACUCCGUGCCAGCCGCCGCGGUAA